UGAUGGUGGAGUUUUGGUUUCGGGUUUUUUUUAGGUUUUUGCAGGGAGCUACUUCCUGUGAUAGUGAAUAACUGGUAUUUCAUAGAGCAGACAGCCUGUACUACUCCAUGUCAUAAUGUUUCCCAUUUCUGUUGUUAGGCCUUUCCGAAAGAUGAAUGAGAAAGGUGUCUUACUCUGGGAUAAAAUCCAUAAGUUGCAGAAAGGCCAGAUAUACAAGCAGGGUAAUUUAUAUGAAUUUUUGAAGCUUACUGGAUGGAGAGGAUCCAGAGUGUUGUAUUUUGG
RNAcentral lists this long non-coding RNA (282 nucleotides) under Homo sapiens (human). RNAcentral describes it as "non-protein coding lnc-C12orf73-4:1". The record is from RNAcentral. Lineage: Eukaryota; Metazoa; Chordata; Mammalia; Primates; Hominidae.